GGCCUUUUUAAAAAUGAAAGAAGCGAUCUGAUUGGUUGCUAUGGGCAACUGCACCAAUCUUAUUACACUGGUACUCUGCAUCACCAACGUCAUAGGGGCCUUUAUGUCAUUUUAUGUUGCUCCACAUUUCCAUCUUGCCCUGAUAGUUCCCUAGCUGCCUCGGCUGAAGGAUACGUCUCAGAUCGCCUUGCGACCAAGAGUUGGGAUGACCACAAAUGGGGAACAGUAAGACAAUGAAUGAAGAGAAGAAAUUCCAACUACAGCCAUGAAUAAGAAAACAGACCGGACAAAAUAAAGGGACACAAGGCACCCAAUAAAUGAUCACUGAACAUUUACUAUUAUCUAAGGGGUUCACUGAUGAUUUGGCAAAAUUACAUUAUGAUUAAUGUUAUACUAUAUUUAUAUAGAGUCUGCAUCUGUGUAAUUCUGAUACACAGCUUACAGCCACCAGUAGUGGGAUUCAGAUGGUUCCCUCAACUCAAUAAUAAAGCAGUAAGCCCCCCAAUGGUGACUUUAACUUUAUGGCUACACAGUCAUUUUGGAUCUAUCUUUGAGAAGCUUCAAUCUAAUAAAACAAGCACAUUAAUUUGGACAUAGAAAUGAAGUUCAGCCCAGAGGGUGAGUAGAUGUUAAAAAAAAAAAAAAAAAAAAAAAAAGAAAAAAAUAAAGAAACAAAAGAGGUGUUUACUUGUGGGCUGACAGGGACCUGUGUUCCUAACCUGGUCACUGAUGUGGUCACAAUGACACAAGGGCUUUCACACAGGAGGGGUGUGCCGCAGUCCAUUGGUUGGCAGAGUGAACAGGGGGGCUGCUCAAGUUGUGUAAGUAGUAAUGGUUCCUCUUGGGCACCCAGUUUUCAGCCUGGCAUUGGGUGCCCUUGGUGCUGUGGUGCAGAAAGAAAAGCCAAAUACUGGGGUAUUGAAUUACAGAGUUGUAUUUACUCCAUUAAAAUGGAGGCACGGUCUACUCAGAACACAAUGGAAUAAUAUAGUUGGAGCAGGGGUUACUCUAUUAUAGGUAGAAAAUAGGUAGAAAGUUCCAAGUCUUUUUUCCCUGAGGGGUAUAAUACAACCUUUGUUGGCUCUCAGUGAAUCCUAGCAGGUCUGAAUCCUAGGGGAAUAGGUCUCAGAAGCAAGGUGGUUUGGCACCUGCCCUAGAGGUCUGCCUAAAGCCCUAGAGGGUCCUUUUCAGUAUAAAUAUGCUAUAGGGCAUAUAUCCACUUAGUCCUCUUUUUCCUCCCUUUCUCUCUGUCUGCCACAGGAGAGAAAGAGAAAAAAAAUAUUGCAGCUUUU
Molecule: long non-coding RNA, 1292 nt
Organism: Hyla sarda
Lineage: Eukaryota; Metazoa; Chordata; Amphibia; Anura; Hylidae
Exons: 3
Source: RefSeq, a predicted model, not a curated record